This 681-nucleotide long non-coding RNA is filed under the name Monodelphis domestica (gray short-tailed opossum). Its description in RNAcentral is "lncRNA (ENSMODG00000039916.1)". The record is from RNAcentral. Lineage: Eukaryota; Metazoa; Chordata; Mammalia; Didelphimorphia; Didelphidae.
AUUACAGGAAUGUAUGUGGUGUCCUUUGAAUGCUGCAAAACCCUGGCCUCUGACCCUUCCAGGUCCAUUUCAUUAACUUGGCCUCUCGGAGAGCCGGUCCAGAGCACAGGGAAGGUUCACUCAGCUUUCCCAGAGAUGAGCCACAGAGAGGAGACAGAGUGACUAGGAUGAAAUCAAGUGAUGCUGCCUCCUUCUGUUCCUUCCCCAUCAAGACUACACUUUUCCUCACUUCUCAUAAACAACUUUGCAGUCAUUGUCCUCAUUUUGGUUUUAUCUUUAUGAAUUCUAACCUGUUGAGAUCUUUUCAAGUUGCAAAUCUAUUAUCCAAUCCAGCCAUUUCAUCUACUGUUGUGAUUGAUGCCUUCACAUUCAACCCAUUAAUUAAAAUGAAGCAUUGAUUUGAGGACUCAGUUCAAGUGUUUCCUGUUGCCUGAAUACUUUCCUCGUCUCUUUAGCUAAAAGUUGAGCAGCUAGGUGGUGCAGUGGAUAGAGUGCUGGACCUGAAGUCAGGACGAUUCAUCUUCCUUCAAAUCUAGCCCUAGAUAUGUAUUAGCUAGCUAUGUGGCCCUGGGUAAGUCACCUAACCCUGUUUGCUUUAGUUUCCUUCUCUGUAAAAUGACCUAGAGAAGGAAAUGCCAAACCACUACACUAUCUUUGCCAAUAAAGCCCCAAAUGGGCUCA